RNAcentral lists this ribosomal RNA (562 nucleotides) under Morganella morganii. RNAcentral's name for it is "bacterial SSU rRNA". It matches the Rfam family "Bacterial small subunit ribosomal RNA", at positions 954 to 1515 of the family's 1533-position model. The record is from RNAcentral. Lineage: Bacteria; Pseudomonadati; Pseudomonadota; Gammaproteobacteria; Enterobacterales; Morganellaceae.
AUGCAACGCGAAGAACCUUACCUACUCUUGACAUCCAGAGAACUUUCCAGAGAUGGAUUGGUGCCUUCGGGAACUCUGAGACAGGUGCUGCAUGGCUGUCGUCAGCUCGUGUUGUGAAAUGUUGGGUUAAGUCCCGCAACGAGCGCAACCCUUAUCCUUUGUUGCCAGCGCGUGAUGGCGGGAACUCAAAGGAGACUGCCGGUGAUAAACCGGAGGAAGGUGGGGAUGACGUCAAGUCAUCAUGGCCCUUACGAGUAGGGCUACACACGUGCUACAAUGGCGUAUACAAAGGGAAGCGACCCCGCGAGGGCAAGCGGAACUCAUAAAGUACGUCGUAGUCCGGAUUGGAGUCUGCAACUCGACUCCAUGAAGUCGGAAUCGCUAGUAAUCGUAGAUCAGAAUGCUACGGUGAAUACGUUCCCGGGCCUUGUACACACCGCCCGUCACACCAUGGGAGUGGGUUGCAAAAGAAGUAGGUAGCUUAACCUCCGGGAGGGCGCUUACCACUUUGUGAUUCAUGACUGGGGUGAAGUCGUAACAAGGUAACCGUAGGGGAACCUGC